GGUUCCAUGGUCUAGUGGUAUGACGUCUGUUUCACUCACAGAAGAUCUCGAGUUCGAUCCUCGAUGGAAUCA
The sequence is a transfer RNA, 72 nucleotides long. It matches the Rfam family "tRNA". Rfam says of the family: Transfer RNA (tRNA) molecules are approximately 80 nucleotides in length. Their secondary structure includes four short double-helical elements and three loops (D, anti-codon, and T loops). The record is from Rfam.